AGCGAACGCUGGCGGCAGGCCUAACACAUGCAAGUCGAACGAACUCUUUGGAGUUAGUGGCGGACGGGUGAGUAACACGUGGGAACGUGCCUUUUGGUUCGGAAUAACUCAGGGAAACUUGUGCUAAUACCGAAUGUGCCCUUCGGGGGAAAGAUUUAUCGCCAUUAGAGCGGCCCGCGUCUGAUUAGCUAGUUGGUGAGGUAACGGCUCACCAAGGCGACGAUCAGUAGCUGGUCUGAGAGGAUGACCAGCCACACUGGGACUGAGACACGGCCCAGACUCCUACGGGAGGCAGCAGUGGGGAAUCUUGCGCAAUGGGCGAAAGCCUGACGCAGCCAUGCCGCGUGAAUGAUGAAGGUCUUAGGAUUGUAAAAUUCUUUCACCGGGGACGAUAAUGACGGUACCCGGAGAAGAAGCCCCGGCUAACUUCGUG
Molecule: ribosomal RNA, 433 nt
Filed under: uncultured bacterium
Lineage: Bacteria
Description: partial 16S ribosomal RNA
Rfam family: Bacterial small subunit ribosomal RNA
Source: RNAcentral